GGACGCGUGGCUCAAUGGAUAGAGCACCGGUCUACGGAACCGGGGGUUGGAGGUUCGAGUCCUCCCGCGUCCGCCA
RNAcentral lists this transfer RNA (76 nucleotides) under Candidatus Saccharimonadota bacterium. RNAcentral describes it as "tRNA-Arg". It matches the Rfam family "tRNA". From Rfam's summary of the family: Transfer RNA (tRNA) molecules are approximately 80 nucleotides in length. Their secondary structure includes four short double-helical elements and three loops (D, anti-codon, and T loops). Further hydrogen bonds mediate the characteristic L-shaped molecular structure. tRNAs have two regions of fundamental functional importance: the anti-codon, which is responsible for specific mRNA codon recognition, and the 3' end, to which the tRNAs corresponding amino acid is attached (by aminoacyl-tRNA synthetases). tRNAs cope with the degeneracy of the genetic code in two manners: having more than one tRNA (with a specific anti-codon) for a particular amino acid; and 'wobble' base-pairing, i.e. permitting non-standard base-pairing at the 3rd anti-codon position. Lineage: Bacteria; Candidatus Saccharimonadota. RNAcentral also lists the same sequence under 4 other names. The record is from RNAcentral.